UACGUAGGGGGCAAGCGUUGUCCGGAAUUAUUGGGCGUAAAGAGCGUGUAGGCGGCCAGAUAGGUCUGCUGUGAAAACUCGAGGCUCAACCUCGAGCUGUCGGCGGAAACCAUCUGGCUAGAGUCCGGAAGAGGAGAGUGGAAUUCCUGGUGUAGCGGUGAAAUGCGCAGAUAUCAGGAAGAACACCUAUGGCGAAGGCAGCUCUCUGGGACGGUACUGACGCUGAGACGCGAAAGCGUGGGGAGCGAACAGG
This 253-nucleotide ribosomal RNA is filed under the name uncultured bacterium. Its description in RNAcentral is "partial 16S ribosomal RNA". It matches the Rfam family "Bacterial small subunit ribosomal RNA", at positions 524 to 776 of the family's 1533-position model. The record is from RNAcentral.